Long non-coding RNA from Erinaceus europaeus (western European hedgehog), 251 nucleotides. RefSeq lists it as uncharacterized. The transcript is spliced from 3 exons. Lineage: Eukaryota; Metazoa; Chordata; Mammalia; Eulipotyphla; Erinaceidae. The record is from RefSeq and is a predicted model, not a curated record.
GAAUCUCUGUAUAUCAAGUCUGAACGUGUGAACUUCAGUCAGUCUGAAGUGCUGAGAGUAGAAAGCACGGUUGAAUCCAUAGGACUCAGCUUUCUCAUCAUAUCUGUGGGUCUCAGAAAGAAGUCAAGAGAAGUCCAUAUCUUUACAACUUGGAACACUUACACCUUUUGCCCAGCAUCUGCCUCAGCCAUCUGCUGGUCCUCGUCCAGGGAAGCACCCCUGGUCUCCUGGUCUGUGAAGAGAAGAGCAAC